UGCGAAUGUGGGAAAACGUGACAUCCUCAAAACUCUAAAGUGCGCAUGAAGCUGAAACCUAGGCAGUCGCUAAUCAUUGCGCCCACGCACAACUAGGAGCUUCUGUAUGUCCUUUGUCUGGAAAGAAUCUAUGGCUGCUCUCAACUGGAUGAUUUCUUGAUGGUGUUUACUAACAUCUUCCUCGAUAAGCUGAAAAUAUGCUGAUCUGAAAUUAUCCAAAAUCCAAAUAAACAUACACCCUUUAUUACACUGCCAGAAACAGGAUUGAGUUGAAUGUGUUUAUUGAUCAAUGAUCAAUGAUCAAUGUACCUCUUCAUCAUCUCUGCAAUUGCGUCAUCCAAUCCUUGUUUUUCCCCAGAGGUGAAACCAGAGGGAAAUUUAUUGACAAUGACCGUAGCAGAAUUCCUCUCUGCAAUUCAAGACUGGGAUUUGGUGGAGAAACUGGAU
Molecule: long non-coding RNA, 447 nt
Organism: Ipomoea nil (Japanese morning glory)
Lineage: Eukaryota; Viridiplantae; Streptophyta; Magnoliopsida; Solanales; Convolvulaceae
Exons: 3
Source: RefSeq, a predicted model, not a curated record